AUGAGGUUUUGGCUCCAUGUAGUGUUCCUUACAGCAGCUUUGGAAGGUGUCCGGUCCCAGGUGCAGCUGGUGGAGUCCGGAGGGGAUGUGAAAAAGCCCGGAGACUCUCUCCGCCUCUCCUGCAAAGCCUCUGGGUUCACCUUCAGCAGCUAUGAUAUGAGCUGGGUCCGACAGGCUCCCGGGAAGGGGCUGGAGUGGGUCUCAAGCAUUUAUUGGGAUUUAUGGAACCACUAUUAUUACGCAGACUCAGUGAAAGGCCGAUUCACCAUCUCCAGGGACAAUUCCAACAACCUGCUGCAUUUGGACAUGACUGGCCUGAAGCCCGAGGACACCGCCCGGUAUUACUGUGUGCGAGACACACACACACAGUGA
This is a non-coding RNA of Terrapene triunguis (Three-toed box turtle), 372 nucleotides long. Lineage: Eukaryota; Metazoa; Chordata; Testudines; Emydidae. The record is from the annotation of a RefSeq genome assembly.